RNAcentral lists this small nuclear RNA (83 nucleotides) under Choloepus hoffmanni (Hoffmann's two-fingered sloth). Its description in RNAcentral is "U4 spliceosomal RNA (ENSCHOG00000015693.1)". The stretch from base 1 to 69 matches the Rfam family "U4 spliceosomal RNA". From Rfam's summary of the family: U4 small nuclear RNA (U4 snRNA) is a component of the major U2-dependent spliceosome. The structure of U4 snRNA from yeast and human has been reported. U4 snRNA presents a k-turn RNA motif in the 5p-SL related to recognition of Snu13 protein. The record is from RNAcentral. Lineage: Eukaryota; Metazoa; Chordata; Mammalia; Pilosa; Megalonychidae.
AGCUUUGCACAGUGGCAGUAUUGUAGCCUAUGAGGUUAUCCGAGGCGCAAUUAUGCUAAUUGAAACAAUGGAUUGAACAAUGG